Long non-coding RNA from Carcharodon carcharias (great white shark), 1153 nucleotides. RefSeq lists it as uncharacterized. The transcript is spliced from 4 exons. Lineage: Eukaryota; Metazoa; Chordata; Chondrichthyes; Lamniformes; Lamnidae. The record is from RefSeq and is a predicted model, not a curated record.
UCAACAUUGGGACAUCUGGACCCAGCUUCCCCCCUUAUAGCUGCUCGGAGGAGAGCCAUUUGUUUGGACAGAAAUUGCAGUAUUUUCCUGAGUUUCUCACCUGCAGAGCUGUGCCCUUCGCCCUGUGGGAAGCAGAGUGCUCUCCGAGGUUCAGAAAACAGCGGGCGUUCCAGCAGCAGAAGCAGGGCACUGAGUCUCACCUCCACUGUGUGCAGGUUUCCAAGCGGUGGGCAGGUGAAGAAGGCCAACCUUCCCAGACAACUUAAUAAUGAGACCAAACUUUGGAGCAGAAGCAAAAAGAAGAUGCUGGGUUUCGACAGUGAAGUCUGGAGAUCGGUUUUCGCCAAUUUCUUUGCUUACCACCUUCAACCUAACUGCAAACCAGGACAGCAAUGCUAAAGGAUUCAGUGUCCUGAAUAUGUACACACAUCGGCUGCGCCGUUACACAAUGCGGCGAGGGUGGGCUGGGCUAAGACAACAUCUCCUUGAGGUCAAAGUCUUCUCUGCUCAUCAAUGCACUGUCAUUACAAUGCGAAGCCCAGUUCAACGAAACACGUGCGUAUUAUUUUUUCGAACACAGCAGAAUUUUAGCUUGUGCUUGAAGUCCAAUAAGAAAGUACCACCGAGACCCCACGGAAGGGUAGAUCUCAAACCCCAGUGAAAUCUCUGAUGGUUGAAUGAAGGAUAUGGGCCGCCCUUUAUUCUUUUCCGGGUGAGGAAAAUAUUCCAAAACUGCGAUGUGGAAGAAUCUUAUUCUCAGACUUCCGGUUUCAACCAGCAACUAAAUCCCCAGCCCCUAAACUGACGAAAAGGGUUUGAUGUCCCCGUGUGAUCCGCAAGCGCCUUAAAUUUUUUAUGAAACUAGAUUUUGUGACGUGGACAUUGUAUUCUAAUUCAAAACAUAAUUAUAUUUGUAAAGUAGAAGUCCAGAGAGCAUGCUUUGCCCCUGUAUACACCAGAAUCCUGGAUCAAUGUUGAUAACUACUUAAUAAUUAUCAAAUGGCAAGUGUUCCUCACCGCCGCAUGUUACUCUCGGGAAGUUUAGAUCCUUCCUGUCGUGAUUAACUCACCGUUUAAUUGCCUGUACUCAUUUCAUAUCUGGGCUAUUUUCAAGAGUGUAACUAUUAAAUAAAAUAUUUCCAUUUCCUGUAAA